This 497-nucleotide ribosomal RNA is filed under the name uncultured bacterium. RNAcentral describes it as "partial 16S ribosomal RNA". It matches the Rfam family "Bacterial small subunit ribosomal RNA", at positions 28 to 507 of the family's 1533-position model. The record is from RNAcentral.
GAUGAACGCUGGCGGCGUGCCUAAUACAUGCCAGUCGAGCGAACGGACGAGAAGCUUGCUUCUCUGAUGUUAGCGGCGGACGGGUGAGUAACACGUGGAUAACCUACCUAUAAGACUGGGAUAACUUCGGGAAACCGGAGCUAAUACCGGAUAAUAUUUUGAACCGCAUGGUUCAAAAGUGAAAGACGGUCUUGCUGUCACUUAUAGAUGGAUCCGCGCUGCAUUAGCUAGUUGGUAAGGUAACGGCUUACCAAGGCAACGAUGCAUAGCCGACCUGAGAGGGUGAUCGGCCACACUGGAACUGAGACGCGGUCCAGACUCCUACGGGAGGCAGCAGUAGGGAAUCUUCCGCAAUGGGCGAAAGCCUGACGGAGCAACGCCGCGUGAGUGAUGAAGGUCUUCGGAUCGUAAAACUCUGUUAUUAGGGAAGAACAUAUGUGUAAGUAACUGUGCACAUCUUGACGGUACCUAAUCAGAAAGCCACGGCUAACUACGUG